Molecule: long non-coding RNA, 463 nt
Organism: Rhipicephalus microplus (southern cattle tick)
Lineage: Eukaryota; Metazoa; Arthropoda; Arachnida; Ixodida; Ixodidae
Source: RefSeq, a predicted model, not a curated record
UUUACGUUAUUUCUGCGAUUCUGGCAGUAAAUAUUGUUGAAGGAAAAUGGUAGGAUGUAGCGCGGUAAUGUGCAGCAGUUCGAGUGAAAAAGCGCAGAAAAUGUUUCGCGUGCCCUGGGAUCCUGAGCGUCGCAAGCAGUGGGCAGUGGCCAUCCGCCGUCAGACUCCGAAAGGAAAACUGUUUGCCCACUGACCAUAGCAGGCUGUACGCUGACCACUUUGUAAAGGGGUCGCCGAGCUAUGACCCUGACGAUAUCGACUACGUGCCGACGUUGUUCUUCCACGACGAAGCGAGCAGAAAGCGUUCGCGCCGCAUCAAAAACAGCCAUGCACGUUAUGAAGGCGUCACUGCAAAGCGAAGUCCUCACGUGCGAGCUUUGCAGUCGUCGCAAGUGCCGGCUGAAGACAGUUCAGAGGACAUAGUGCAACUUUCGACGCCGCUUUCUGCAUCACUGUCAAGUUC